GACGAACGCUGGCGGCGUGCCUAAUACAUGCAAGUCGAACGCUUCUUUCCUCCCGAGUGCUUGCACUCAAUUGGAAAGAGGAGUGGCGGACGGGUGAGUAACACGUCGGUAACCUACCCAUCAGAGGGGGAUAACACUUGGAAACAGGUGCUAAUACCGCAUAACAGUUUAUGCCGCAUGGCAUAAGAGUGAAAGGCGCUUUCGGGUGUCGCUGAUGGAUGUACCCGCGGUGCAUUAGCUAGUUGGUGAGGUAACGGCUCACCAAGGCCACGAUGCAUAGCCGAACUGAGAGGGUGAUCGGCGACACUGGGACUGAGACACGGCCCAGACGCCUACGGGAGGCAGCAGUAGGGAAUCUUCGGCAAUGGACGAAAGUCUGACCGAGCAACGGCGAGUGAGUGAAGAAGGUGUUCGGAUCGUAAAACUCUGUUGUUAGAGAAGAACAAGGACGUUAGUAACUGAACGUUCAGUGACGGUAUCUAACCAGAAAGCAACGGCUAACUACGUG
RNAcentral lists this ribosomal RNA (508 nucleotides) under uncultured bacterium. RNAcentral describes it as "partial 16S ribosomal RNA". It matches the Rfam family "Bacterial small subunit ribosomal RNA", at positions 28 to 507 of the family's 1533-position model. The record is from RNAcentral.